UUGAAGUCUGUGAAAUUGGAGAUAAAGCUUUAUGAGAGAGAAAAGAUGGAGGAAAGUUAGUGAAAUUGGAGAGAUAGAAAAGAUUAACAGAGACUCAGUGAAGUUUGAAAUUGGAGAUAAAGCUUUAUGAGAGAGAAAAGAUAGAGGAAAGUUAGUGAAAUUGGGGAGAGAGAAAAGAUUGAGAGAGACUUAGUGAAAUUGGAGAGAGAGAGAAAGAUAGAGAGACAUUAAAGUAAAAUUGUAGAGAGAGAAGCUUAAUUAGAACUUAGCAAGAGAAGCUUAGUUAGUUAGAACUUAGAAGCACAGUGAUAAUUAUCAUACUUAGAAGCACAAUGACAAUUAUUAUUAUCGG
RNAcentral lists this long non-coding RNA (352 nucleotides) under Amborella trichopoda. RNAcentral describes it as "long non-coding RNA (ATRI_LNC005440)". The record is from RNAcentral. Lineage: Eukaryota; Viridiplantae; Streptophyta; Magnoliopsida; Amborellales; Amborellaceae.